CAGUAGCCGCGGUAAUACGAGGGGGGCGAGCGUUAUUCGGAAUUAUUGGGCGUAAAGGGUGCGUAGGCGGUUCAGUAAGUCUUGUGUGAAAUCUUCGGGCUCAACUCGAAGUCUGCAUGAGAAACUGCUGGGCUUGAGUAUGGCAGAGGGGGGUAGAAUUCCACGUGUAGCAGUGAAAUGCGUAGAGAUGUGGAGGAAUACCGAUGGCGAAGGCAGCCCCCUGGGCCAAUACUGACGCUCAUGCACGAAAGCGUGGGGAGCAAACAGGAUUAGAUACCCCCGUAGUCCCUGUCUCUUAUAC
This 301-nucleotide ribosomal RNA is filed under the name uncultured bacterium. RNAcentral describes it as "partial 16S ribosomal RNA". It matches the Rfam family "Bacterial small subunit ribosomal RNA", at positions 509 to 807 of the family's 1533-position model. The record is from RNAcentral.